AUUGAACGCUGGCGGCAUGCUUUACACAUGCAAGUCGAACGGUAACAGGCCGCAAGGUGCUGACGAGUGGCGAACGGGGGAGUAAUGCAUCGGAACGUGCCCAGGCGUGGGGGAUAACUACUCGAAAGAGUAGCUAAUACCCCAUACGAGCUCUGGAUGAAAACGGGGGACCGUAAGGCAUCGCGCGCUUGCAGCGGCCGAUGUCUGAUUAGGUAGUUGUUGGGGUAAAGGCUAACCAAGCCAACGAUCUGCAGCUGGUCUGAGAGGACGAACAGCCACACUGGGACUGAGACACGGCCCAGACUCCUACGGGAGGCAGCAGUGGGGAAUAUUGGACAAUGGGCGCAAGCCUGAUCCAGCAAUGCCGCGUGUAGGAAGAAGGCCUUCGGGUUGUAAACUGCUUUUGUACGGAACGAAGCGGCUCUGGUUAAUACCCGGGGGUAAUGACGGUACCGUAAGAAUAAGCACCGGCUAACUACGUG
Molecule: ribosomal RNA, 482 nt
Filed under: uncultured bacterium
Lineage: Bacteria
Description: partial 16S ribosomal RNA
Rfam family: Bacterial small subunit ribosomal RNA
Source: RNAcentral